RNAcentral lists this ribosomal RNA (253 nucleotides) under uncultured bacterium. RNAcentral describes it as "partial 16S ribosomal RNA". It matches the Rfam family "Bacterial small subunit ribosomal RNA", at positions 524 to 776 of the family's 1533-position model. The record is from RNAcentral.
UACGGAGGGUGCAAGCGUUAAUCGGAAUUAUUGGGCGUAAAGAGCUCGUAGGCGGCUUGUCGCGUCGGAUGUGAAAGCCCGGGGCUUAACUCCGGGUCUGCAUUCGAUACGGGCAGGCUAGAGUUCGGUAGGGGAGAUCGGAAUUCCUGGUGUAGCGGUGAAAUGCGCAGAUAUCAGGAGGAACACCGGUGGCGAAGGCGGAUCUCUGGGCCGAUGCUGACGCUGAGGAGCGAAAGCGUGGGGAGCGAACAGG